UCUCCCCCCCACCCAUUCAUAUCCCCCCUUCCCUUCCCCCUCUGCUCAUGUCACCCCUUCCCCUUGUCCCCCUGCUUAUGUUCACCCUGCCCAGGCCUUACAGUCUUUCUUUCCAGAACUGCUCCCUCUGGUCGUGCGUUUUUCUGGGGGGAUUUAAGGGAGAAGAAGAGAGGGCAGGUUGGGAGGCUAUGUCCUGUAGGUGAUGGUUGAGAAUCCCAACCAAAGGAAGGCUCCCUGGGUGGACAGACGGAACUCCGGGCAGGAGGUGACAUCCCCUUCACACUGUGGUGUCUCUUGGGGAGGGAUCUCCCCCAAUCUCAAUAAACCAGUGCACAGUGUGACUCAUCAGCUCAUCCCUUACUGAGAACACACUGGGCUUCAGUCCCAGGAGGGGAACUCGGGGGGCUCCAUGCUGGUGAAAAGGCCCCACAGCAGAGGGGUGGGAGGAAGGUUUUGUUGGUCCACUGAGGGCCUCUCAAAGCAGGACAGGAUUGGGCCGGGACCAGUCAGUGAUACUUUAGCCCGUAACUGUGGGGGCUCUGGAGUCGCGGCAGAGCGACGUGUAGGGAGAGAGUG
Molecule: long non-coding RNA, 576 nt
Organism: Herpailurus yagouaroundi (jaguarundi)
Lineage: Eukaryota; Metazoa; Chordata; Mammalia; Carnivora; Felidae
Exons: 3
Source: RefSeq, a predicted model, not a curated record